RNAcentral lists this ribosomal RNA (402 nucleotides) under uncultured bacterium. Its description in RNAcentral is "bacterial SSU rRNA". It matches the Rfam family "Bacterial small subunit ribosomal RNA", at positions 355 to 774 of the family's 1533-position model. The record is from RNAcentral.
UGGGGAAUAUUGGACAAUGGGCGAAAGCCUGAUCCAGCAAUACCAAGUGAGUGAUGAAGGCCCUAGGGUUGUAAAGCUCUUUUAGCAAGGAAGAUAAUGACGUUACUUGCAGAAAAAGCCCCGGCUAACUCCGUGCCAGCAGCCGCGGUAAGACGGAGGGGGCUAGCGUUGUUCGGAAUUACUGGGCGUAAAGAGUGCGUAGGCGGUUUAGUAAGUUGGAAGUGAAAGCCCGGGGCUUAACCUCGGAAUUGCUUUCAAAACUACUAAUCUAGAGUGUAGUAGGGGAUGAUGGAAUUCCUAGUGUAGAGGUGAAAUUCUUAGAUAUUAGGAGGAACACCGGUGGCGAAGGCGGUCAUCUGGGCUACAACUGACGCUGAUGCACGAAAGCGUGGGGAGCAAACA